RNAcentral lists this ribosomal RNA (469 nucleotides) under uncultured bacterium. RNAcentral describes it as "partial 16S ribosomal RNA". It matches the Rfam family "Bacterial small subunit ribosomal RNA", at positions 28 to 507 of the family's 1533-position model. The record is from RNAcentral.
GACGAACGCUGGCGGCGUGCUUAACACAUGCAAGUCGAACGGAAAGGCCCUGCUUGCAGGGUGCUCGAGUAGCGAACGGGUGAGUAACACGUGGGUGAUCUGCCCCUUACUUUGGGAUAAGCCUGGGAAACUGGGUCUAAUACUGGAUAGGGCCAUGCUGUAGGUGGUGUGGUGGAAAGAUUAGUUUCGGUAAGGGAUGAGCUCGCGGCCUAUCAGCUUGUUGGUGGGGUAAUGGCCUACCAAGGCGUCGACGGGUAGCCGGCCUGAGAGGGUGGACGGCCACAUUGGGACUGAGAUACGGCCCAGACUCCUACGGGAGGCAGCAGUGGGGAAUAUUGCACAAUGGGCGCAAGCCUGAUGCAGCGACGCCGCGUGGGGGAUGACGGCCUUCGGGUUGUAAACUCCUUUCAGCCAUGACGAAGCCCUUGUGGUGACGGUAGUGGUAGAAGAAGCACCGGCUAACUACGUG